Molecule: long non-coding RNA, 238 nt
Filed under: Lathyrus oleraceus (garden pea)
Lineage: Eukaryota; Viridiplantae; Streptophyta; Magnoliopsida; Fabales; Fabaceae
Description: Pisum sativum (pea) long non-coding RNA (PSAT_LNC036940)
Source: RNAcentral
AGUGGUAAUUCAAAAAUUAUGCAUUGCCUUCACAUUUUACCAAUUACACUUGGCUCCAAACAGCAUUUGAAAUGAUUCCAAGGGCAAAUUCGAGCACUGUUCCAUUGGCAUGCAUUACAUGAGGGUGAAUUGACAAAUUGGCAUUACACUUCCAUUUCACUAAUCCAUUUGCAUUUGGCUUAAUUGUGAUUAGCAACAUCAUUAGCACACCAUAUAAAAGCUAAAGCAUAACUGUUUU